Molecule: long non-coding RNA, 788 nt
Organism: Onthophagus taurus
Lineage: Eukaryota; Metazoa; Arthropoda; Insecta; Coleoptera; Scarabaeidae
Source: RefSeq, a predicted model, not a curated record
UAUCCAGAAAUAUAUCAAAGAUGGGUUUUAUGUUGUGUGCGAGAAAACCUGCUUCAGUGUGAACACUUGAGGGUUUAUAAUAAUUUUCGAGUUUGUGAUAAGCCUUUUCGACGAGAGGAUGUUGGACGUAACAACAAAUUGUUGAAAGGAGUAGUACCAUCAUCAAAUUUGCCAGAUAUCAGUACUUAGAAGUCAGUACUUCAAGUGCUUCGAAUAACACGCCCACUAUUCCACAUGCAGAUAUGGGACUUUAGGUUGCUUCAACAUCCACCAGUGCAAUCUCAUUGGAGACUUCAGGGUAACCCCGCUUAAUGGGGAAACAGCGUUAAUCGGGAUCAUUAUUGGAUAUUUUUUGACAGCUAAACAAAGGGAGAGUUUAUUGGAGGAAGUUGGUGUCCACAAACAAGACGACUUAUCACCAAAAGCUCAACAUUUAUACAGGAAAGCAGUGAUGUAUAAGAGGAAAUUCCAGCGCCAGAGUAUAAUAUCCUAAAGAAAUAAAAGAAAAUUAUUACCAAAGAGACAACUUUUUAAGCAGUCAAUUUCAAGUUUAGACACAAUAUUGGCAUUACAUUUAAUGCUACAAAAUGGAAAGGGGUAUAAGGUAUUAUAAAGUGUAAAGUUACACUGUGAGGAAUAAACAGAUUAACACCGUAUUUUUAACAUCUUUUAACAAAGUUAUUUUGACUCUCAAACGUGUUGCAACCUAUUAGAAUUUAGGUAAAUUUAUCACUUUUUCGCGGUAAUAUUUCACCUUAUACCGAAGAGUUAAAUUACUUCGUAAAAUU